UACAGGGGGGGCAAGCGUUGUUUGGAAUUACUGGGCGUAAAGGGCUCGUAGGUGGCCAACUAAGUCAGACGUGAAAUCCCUCAGCUUAACUGGGGAACUGCGUCUGAUACUGGAUGGCUUGAGUUUGGGAGAGGGAUGCGGAAUUCCAGGUGUAGCGGUGAAAUGCGUAGAUAUCUGGAGGAACACCGGUGGCGAAGGCGGCAUCCUGGACCAACACUGACACUGAGGAGCGAAAGCCAGGGGAGCAAACGGG
RNAcentral lists this ribosomal RNA (253 nucleotides) under uncultured bacterium. Its description in RNAcentral is "partial 16S ribosomal RNA". It matches the Rfam family "Bacterial small subunit ribosomal RNA", at positions 524 to 776 of the family's 1533-position model. The record is from RNAcentral.